GGCUCAGGACGAACGCUGGCGGCGUGCUUAACACAUGCAAGUCGAGCGAAGCGCUUAAGUCUGAUUCUUCGGAUGAAGACUUUUGUGACUGAGCGGCGGACGGGUGAGUAACGCGUGGGUAACCUGCCUCAUACAGGGGGAUAACAGUUAGAAAUGACUGCUAAUACCGCGUAAGACCACGGUACCGCAUGGUACAGUGGUAAAAACUCCGGUGGUAUGAGAUGGACCCGCGUCUGAUUAGGUAGUUGGUGGGGUAACGGCCUACCAAGCCGACGAUCAGUAGCCGACCUGAGAGGGUGACCGGCCACAUUGGGACUGAGACACGGCCCAGACUCCUACGGGAGGCAGCAGUAGG
This 355-nucleotide ribosomal RNA is filed under the name uncultured Dorea sp. Its description in RNAcentral is "bacterial SSU rRNA". It matches the Rfam family "Bacterial small subunit ribosomal RNA", at positions 21 to 358 of the family's 1533-position model. The record is from RNAcentral. Lineage: Bacteria; Bacillati; Bacillota; Clostridia; Lachnospirales; Lachnospiraceae.